CUGCAAAGGGUGAAAACUGAGUUGUCUGCAUUACACGUGGGUCUUUGGCAGAUAGAGAUGGGGAGACAGGACAUUUCUGCAGAAAGGACAAUGUGCAGGUGUGAUGCAGCAUGAUUUUUUCAGGGGCACUAGAAGCAUGUGGUAUUUGGUCACCUGUUAGGAGCCUGACUCCAUGCCAAGUGCUGAAGCUGUCACCAUGGUUAAGAUCCCCACCAUCUGCAGCCUACUACAGGGGAGGCUACACUCCUGAAGAAACGGGAUUUGGAGUUGUUCCAGCUGAUGUCAAAGACCACACACAAGGACAUGGACCUCAAUGGCUCAUUCACACGAGCAUGACAGUUACCCAGGAUGAACUGCAAAAAGCUAUCUGUGGAUGGUUAACUGCAGCUUGCAGUCUAUCUGAGAAAACAAAACGUACCCUCAAGCAGAUAAAUGCCAUUUACUGCCAUUCCUAUGAUCUCAGCGCUAUGUGGGUUUAAUCAGCCUUCUGCUAAAAGGAACCAGGUCCAAGACAUUCAGCAUGGCAUGGUAGCUAAGCAAGACCCAGUGUCUUCAUUCAGCACUGACAGAGUCACUGUCUCUGAGCAGCACUUAGCUACAGAAACGUUGAAGCCUUCUGCAAUUUAUUAUGCUGAGUGCAUCUAAUCAACAUGUAGAAUAAAGAUGGAGCUCCAGAAAAGUUAGCACGCAAUCUGGAUGACAGGUGCUGAGCAAGGACAGCCUCUUCCCAAUGCUCUCCAUGAGGCCUGCUGUUUCCAGGGAAUGAUAUUAUCAUCCUUGGCAUCUAGAACAGGACUCAAUGUAAGAUUGUCUAAGGCAGUCACUGGCUACAGUUCAUGGAAGCUUCAGGACUGCACUUGGCAUGAGCUCUCAGAACUAUGGAAAAAAGAAGCUCUUAGGUGGAACAUUUCUAGCUAAAAAAUGUAUAGUUUUGUUGUUGUUGUUGCUGUUUCUGUUCGUUUCUUCAUUUUUAUUUUUAGAAAUAGGAUUUCAAAGGGCAUCUGUCCUGGUCCCUCAGGAAAGAACAUUUUCUAAAGCGUCCCCAUCAAUAAUGCCUCCGGUGUCAUAGAUCCCUCUUGGCCAUCCAGCUCUGCCACCGUGCCUGGAUUCUGCAUUUUCAAAGUGACCAGCUUACCAGCAGCAUCCUCUUCUGCCUCUUGACUCACACAGAUCCCAUAAAUAAGCAUUCACUGAGGCCUGCUCUGAGUGAGGCUCUGGGGAAAGUGCUGUGGGACCUUCAAGAGCAAUAGCAGCCCUGAGCUCCAGGAGCUUCCCCGCUGAGGUGGGGAAUUGUGAUGCAUGGAACAUCUCCAACACACAAAGCAGAUUCUUGCUGGGCUUUGAAUUGGAAUUACAUUGAUAGUAUUAACUCGGGGGAGACCUGAUAUAUUUAAAAGAAAAAAAUAAGCCGGGCAUGAUGGCUCACGCCUCUAAUCCCAGCACUUGGGGAGGCUGAGGCAGGUGGAUCAUUUGAGGUCAGGAGUUUGAGACCAGCCUGGCCAACAUGGUGAGACCCCAUCUCUACUAAAAAUACAAAAAUUAGCCGGGCGUGGUGGGUGCCUGUAACCCCAGCUACGUGGGAGGCUGAGGCAGGAGAAUCACUUGAACCUGGGAGAUGGAGGCUGCAGUGAGCUGAGAUCACGCCACUGCACUUCAGCCUGGGUGACACAGUGAGACUCUGUCUCAAAAAAUAAAAAAAAAAAAGAAAAAAAUAUAGGUGAUGGAACAGAAAAGUAGGCAGUGGCUAUGAAGAUGCGAUCCAAAUAUAAGGUAACACUUAUCAUCAAAGACAUAGCAAUUAAGGCAACCAUGAGACAGCAUCUUGUGUCUGUCAGAUUGGGGGAAAAAUACUAAAUUGAAUAAUGUCAAUUGUUGUUGAGGAUUGAGGAAAUAGCCUUCCAUGAAAUGUGUCUAGAAGUCUAAAUGAGUGUAGACACUCCCGAGAGCAAUCUGGCAGUAUUUAGCAAUCCCACACCUGGGCUUAUAACUUGGACAAACUCUGAUUAUAACAGACUAGCCCAAGGAUAUGUUUAUUGUAGUAUUAUUGGUGGUAGUGAUGAGUUGGAGGCAAUGUAAGUUUCUACCACAAAGAGGGCUGAUAAGAGCAUUUGAUGAAUAGUAUGCAGUAGUCAGAAUAAUAAAGCAGAUGUACACUCAGCAUGGAGAGAUCUGAAUAAGAUACUGUUGGCUGAUGACAGUAAGACAUGGAUUGAGAUAUAUAGCAGAUUGUCAUUUAUAUAAAUUCAAAAUACAUGCACAAGAUGAUCAUGUCUCUAGUAGCUACAAAAGUGCUUGAUAUAGAGUAGGCCUUCAAUAAAUGGUUUUACUUGUCAAUAAAAAUAUAUAUACUAAAUAAAUCUCUAACAUUUAUGUAUAUUAAGAAUACAUAGAUAUACACAUAUUUUAAGGGUGUACACAAGUAUGAAACAUAAUUUAAGGGCAUCGCUCUUCUGGAUAGUCACCCAGUGCUCAAAUGUAGUUCCCUGGAGUGAAGUAAAAUUAAUUCACAAACCUCUGUUACAUCCAAGGUCAAAUAUCCUCAAGAACACCCACUCUCCAUUCCCUGGUUUUAUACUCACUGAGUAACAUUCUGAAGCCUGAGACUUUUAUAGGUACCCAGUUGCCAGAAAAGGCAGAAAGAAGAUUUCCCCAAAAGAAAAUACAUGAAUAUUCAAUUUAUUUAAAAACAUCUGAGCAGGUCUAAGCAAUAUAAAUUAAUAUAGUAGCAUCAGUGUCUUGUGAGUGAUUAAGAUGAGUGUCCUAAGAUUUAGUUGCUUAACUGAUUCCUCUAUGUCCCUAAAUCAAAUGAUGAAAUAUAGAUUUAGGUUCAAUUUUUUUGAAAGAAUACUUCAUAGGUCAUUCUGUGUGCUUCCUACCGCACUACGUUUAGGAGGGAGGCACAUCGUGUGUGGUUGUCCCAAUUUUAGUAAUGCUGAGAUUGGUCAGGGGGUCCAGGUGGUGUCUGACCUUGUUCCAUCAUUACAAAAGAAGUCAUCAUCUACUUUUUACCUAGUGGUUUCAGUAUCUUUGGAUAAUCACUACUUAGAUUUAUCAAGGUGUGCAAAAUGAUUUUCUAAUUCUGUGGUUCCUUCUAUAUACAUUAGCUGGGAUUCUUCAAAAUGUAACUUACAAAAAUGUAACUUACAAAACAAACAAAAUCACUAUCAAGACUUGACGUUUCUUCUUCCUUAUCGAUUUUCAGAAUAGUGAUAAAAGUUACCAUUAAUUAUUUCUAGUGGAGACCAAUAUGUUUUUCUCAUCAUUAUAUACUAUUUUCUUUCUUUCUUUUUUUUUGAGACAAAGUCUUGCUCUGUCGCCAGACUAGAGUGCAGUGGCAUGAUCUUGGCUCACUGCAACCUUGGCCUCCUGGGUUCGAGCAAUUCUUCUGCCUCAGCCUCCCAAGUAGCUGAGACUACAGGUGCACACCACCACGCCCAGCUAAUUUUUGUAUUUUUGUAGAGAUGGGGUUUCACCAUGUUGGCCAGGAUGGUCUUAAUCUCUUGACCUCACAAUCUGCCCACCUCAACCUCCCAAAGUACUGGGAUUACAGGCAAGAGCCACCGCACCCAGCCCAUGAAUUUUUAUAUAUUUGAUGAGGUUGAAUUAACUGCCAUCAUUAUUCUCUUUUCUCUCUCUCUUUAGGAUAUUUUAAACAACUUAUAUUCAAUAAACUGCGUAUGUUUAAAUGGUACACUUUGUAAAGCUUCGGCAUAAUAUACAGUCACAAAAGCAUAAUUGAGGUACCAAACAUAUCUAUUGUAAUCUAAAAUGUCCUUGUGCCCUUUGUAACCUCAUGCUCCUCCUCCAUACUAUAUCCCCAGGCGACCUCUGAUUUACUUUAUGUUGGCAUUUUCUAGAAAUUUAUACAAAUGGCAUUAUUUAGUAUGUACUCUUUGUGUCUGACUGCUUUUACUUAGCAUAAUUAUUUUGAGAUUCAACAUGUUGUUGUCUGUAUCAAUACUUUUAAUUGUCACGUGGUAUGCUAUUGUAUGACUAUGUCACAAUUAUUUAGCCAUUGAUGAACAUUUGGGUCAUUUCCAGUUCGGGGUUACUACAAAUAAAGCUGCUAAGAACAUUUUUGUAUAAAUCUUUGUGUAGACAUAGAUUUUAUUUCUAUUGGAUAAAUACCUACUAGUGGAAAGGCUGCAUCAGAUAGUAGGGUAUAUACCUAACUUUUCAAAAAAAACUGCCAAUGUGUUUUCCAUAGAAGUGCUAUGAGAGUUUCAAUUCUUCCCCCAUUCUCUCCAAUAUUUAGUAUGGUCAGACCUUAUAGUUUUAUCCAUUUUAAUAGGAGUAUAUCAUGGUUUGAAUGUGUCCCCUCCAAAAUUCAGGUGUUGACAUUUUAUGGCCAAUGUGAUAAUAUUAAGAGGUGGGACCUUUAAGAGGUGGUUAGGUCCUGAGGGC
Long non-coding RNA from Rhinopithecus bieti (black snub-nosed monkey), 4404 nucleotides. Lineage: Eukaryota; Metazoa; Chordata; Mammalia; Primates; Cercopithecidae. The record is from Ensembl.